GAUGAAGAACGCAUCAAAAUGCGAUAAGUAAUGUGAAUUGCAGAAUUCAGUGAAUCAUCGAAUCUUUGAACGCACAUUGCGCCCGCCAGUAUUCUGGCGGGCAUGCCUGUUCGAGCGUCAUUUCAACCCUCAAGCUCAGCUUGGUGUUGGGACUCGCGGUAACCCGCGUUCCCCAAAUCGAUUGGCGGUCACGUCGAGCUUCCAUAGCGUAGUAAUCAUACACCUCGUUACUGGUAAUCGUCGCGGCCACGCCGUAAAACCCCAACUUCUGAAUGUUGACCUCGGAUCAGGUAGGAAUACCCGCUGAACUUAAGCAUAUCAAUAAGCGGAGGA
This 333-nucleotide unclassified non-coding RNA is filed under the name soil metagenome. RNAcentral describes it as "partial contains 5.8S ribosomal RNA, internal transcribed spacer 2, and large subunit ribosomal RNA". The stretch from base 1 to 120 matches the Rfam family "5.8S ribosomal RNA", at positions 35 to 154 of the family's 154-position model. The record is from RNAcentral.